UAACCGCCGGAAACGGUGGCUAAUACUGGAUAGGUGCCAAGGCCGCAUGGUCUUUGGUUGGAAAGAUUUUCGGUUCUGGAUCGGCUCGCGGCCUAUCAGCUUGUUGGUGGGGUAAUGGCCUACCAAGGCGACGACGGGUAGCCGGCCUGAGAGGGUGACCGGCCACACGUGGGACUGAGACACGGCCCAG
Molecule: ribosomal RNA, 190 nt
Filed under: uncultured Actinomycetales bacterium
Lineage: Bacteria; Bacillati; Actinomycetota; Actinomycetes; Actinomycetales
Description: partial 16S ribosomal RNA
Rfam family: Bacterial small subunit ribosomal RNA
Source: RNAcentral